Molecule: ribosomal RNA, 497 nt
Filed under: uncultured bacterium
Lineage: Bacteria
Description: partial 16S ribosomal RNA
Rfam family: Bacterial small subunit ribosomal RNA
Source: RNAcentral
GAUGAACGCUGGCGGCGUGCCUAAUACAUGCAAGUCGAGCGAACGGACGAGAAGCUUGCUUUUCUGAUGUUAGCGGCGGACGGGUGAGUAACACGUGGAUAACCUACCUAUAAGACUGGGAUAACUUCGGGAAACCGGAGCUAAUACCGGAUAAUAUUUUGAACCGCAUGGUUCAAAAGUGAAAGACGGUCUUGCUGUCACUUAUAGAUGGAUCCGCGCUGCAUUAGCUAGUUGGUAAGGUAACGGCUUACCAAGGCAACGAUGCAUAGCCGACCUGAGAGGGUGAUCGGCCACACUGGAACUGAGACACGGUCCAGACUCCUACGGGAGGCAGCAGUAGGGAAUCUUCCGCAAUGGGCGAAAGCCUGACGGAGCAACGCCGCGUGAGUGAUGAGGGCCUUCGGAUCGUAAAACUCUGUUAUUAGGGAAGAACAUAUGUGUAAGUAACUGUGCACAUCUUGACGGUACCUAAUCAGAAAGCCACGGCUAACUACGUG